CCUACGGGGGGCAGCAGUGGGGAAUAUUUCACAAUGGGGGAAACCCUGAUGCAGCGACGCCGCGUGAAGGAAGAAGUAUUUCGGUAUGUAAACUUCUAUCAGCAGGGAAGAAAAUGACGGUACCUGACUAAGAAGCCCCGGCUAACUACGUGCCAGCAGCCGCGGUAAUACGUAGGGGGCAAGCAUUAUCCGGAUUUACUGGGUGUAAAGGGAGCGUAGGCGGAGCAGCAAGACAGAUGUGAAAGCCCGGGGCUCAACCCCGUGACUGUUUUUGAAACUGUUGAACUAGAUGGCAGGAGAGGUAAGUGGAAUUCCUAGUGUAGCGGUGAAAUGCGUAGAUAUUAGGAGGAACACCAGUGGCGAAGGCGGGUUACUGGACUGUAAAUGACGCUGAGGCUCGAAAGCGUGGGGAGCAAACAGGAUUAGAUACCCGUGUAGUC
RNAcentral lists this ribosomal RNA (440 nucleotides) under uncultured bacterium. RNAcentral's name for it is "partial 16S ribosomal RNA". It matches the Rfam family "Bacterial small subunit ribosomal RNA", at positions 338 to 795 of the family's 1533-position model. The record is from RNAcentral.